This 1520-nucleotide ribosomal RNA is filed under the name metagenome. RNAcentral describes it as "bacterial SSU rRNA". It matches the Rfam family "Bacterial small subunit ribosomal RNA". The record is from RNAcentral.
AGAGUUUGAUCCUGGCUCAGGAUGAACGCUGGCGGCGUGCUUGAUACAUGCAAGUCGAACGAAUCGGCAAAUGGCAGAUGGUUUCCUGAAGUGACUAGCUUGAGAAGUCUUGCGAACCGCGGAUGGUGAUCGGAAGCCAAGCGCCGGUUAGUGGCGGACGGGUGAGUAACACGUGGGUGACCUACCCCGAAGUGGGGAAUAACCGCUCGAAAGAGCAGCUAAUUCCGCAUAUUAUCUGUCAUUCAUUUGGCAGAUCAAAGGCCUCGGUCGCUUUGGGAUGGGCUUGCGUCCGAUUAGCUAGUUGGUGAGGUAACGGCCCACCAAGGCUAUGAUCGGUAGCUGGUCUGAGAGGAUGAUCAGCCACACUAGCACUGACAUACGGGCUAGACUCCUACGGGAGGCAGCAGUAAGGAAUAUUGCACAAUGGGCGAAAGCCUGAUGCAGCAACGCCGCGUGCGCGAUGAAGGCCUUCGGGUCGUAAAGCGCUUUUCCGAGGGAAGAGUGAGGACGGUACCUCGGGAAUAAGUCUCGGCUAACUAUGUGCCAGCAGCCGCGGUAACACGUAGGAGACGAGCGUUAUCCGGAUUUAUUGGGCGUAAAGAGCAUGUAGGCGGGCUCUUAAGUCGGAUGUGAAAUCUCUUGGCUUAACCGGGAGGGGUCAUUCGAUACUGAGAGUCUUGAGGGCAGGAGAGGGAAGUAGAAUUCCCGGUGUAGUGGUGGAAUACGUAGAUAUCGGGAGGAAUACCAGUGGCGAAAGCGGCUUCCUGGCCUGUGCCUGACGCUGAGAUGCGAAAGCGUGGGUAGCAAACGGGAUUAGAUACCCCGGUAGUCCACGCCCUAAACGAUGGAUACUAGGUGUUGGUGGUCUUUACCCCACCAGUGCCGAAGCAAACGCGAUAAGUAUCCCGCCUGGGGACUACGGUCGCAAGACUAAAACUCAAAGGAAUUGACGGGGACCCGCACAAGCAGCGGAGCGUGUGGUUUAAUUCGAGGCUACACGAAGAACCUUACCUGGGUUUGACAUGCUGGUGGUAGCGACGCGAAAGCCGAGCGACCCUUCGGGGAGCCAGCACAGGUGCUGCAUGGUUGUCGUCAGCUCGUGCCGUGAGGUGUUAGGUUAAGUCCUGCAACGAGCGCAACCCUUUCCGUUAGUUAAACCUCUCUAGCGGGACUUCCGGGGUAACCCGGAGGAAGGUGGGGAUGACGUCAAAUCAGCAUGGCCUUUAUAUCCAGGGCUACACACACGCUACAAUGGUCGGCACAGUGGGCAGCAAUACCGCGAGGUGGAGCCAAUCCUCAAAGCCGGCCCCAGUUCAGAUUGGAGGCUGCAACCCGCCUCCAUGAAGUCGGAGUUGCUAGUAACCGCAGGUCAGCUAUACUGCGGUGAAUACGUUCCCGGGUCUUGUACACACCGCCCGUCACGUCAUGGAAGUCGGUAACACCUGAAGCCGGCAGGCUAACCGUAAGGAGGCAGCCGUUGAGGGUGGGACUGGUAACUGGGACGAAGUCGUAACAAGGUA